UUCCGCAGUCCCCGCCUGGCGGCCGCCCCUGCCGCCGGGAGGGAGCCGCCAGCAGCGCCGCCGCGCCGCGCCUCGCCUGGCCGGAGGAGGAGGAGGAAGCAGGGCAGCAGGCGGGCGAGGGAGACGGAGCCGCCGCCGCCGCCGCCGAGGCAACCAAAGAGGAAGAAGAAAAACCUCGUUUUAUCUUCAAGGAUCCAGAUUGGGGCACCGCACAGGGAUUGUACAUUAUGCUGCUAAGUCAUCUCGUGAUCUUCAGCAAGGAAUUCUAGCCGAGGUGGGUGCGAAGUUGUGAGUUGCCAAGGAAUCACAACGCUCUCUCUGCUCGGCCAUCCUGAGCGGUUGGUUUUUUUUGUACA
RNAcentral lists this long non-coding RNA (356 nucleotides) under Pseudonaja textilis. Its description in RNAcentral is "lncRNA (ENSPTXG00000010862.1)". Lineage: Eukaryota; Metazoa; Chordata; Lepidosauria; Squamata; Elapidae. The record is from RNAcentral.